GUUUGUCCUGGCUCAGGAUGAACGCUGGCGGUCUGCUUAACACAUGCAAGUCGAACGGAAUUCUUCGGGAUUUAGUGGCGGACGGGUGAGUAACGCGUGAGAAUCUGCCCUUAGGUUGGGGACAACAGUUGGAAACGANUGCUAAUACCCAAUGUGCCGAGAGGUGAAAGGUUAACUGCCUGGGGAUGAGCUCGCGUCUGAUUAGCUAGUUGGAGUGGUAACGGCACACCAAGGCGACGAUCAGUAGCUGGUCUGAGAGGAUGAUCAGCCACACUGGGACUGAGACACGGCCCAGACUCCUACGGGAGGCAGCAGUGGGGAAUUUCCCGCAAUGGGCGAAAGCCUGACGGAGCAAGACCGCGUGAGGGAGGAAGGCCUAUUGGUUGUAAACCUCUUUUGAUAGGGAAGAACACAAUGACGGUACCUAUCGAAUCAGCAUCGGCUAACUCCGUGCCAGCAGCCGCGGUAAUACGGAGGAUGCAAGCGUUAUCCGGAUUUAUUGGGCGUAAAGCGUCCGUAGGUGGCAAACCAAGUCAGUUGUUAAAGCGUAGAGCUUAACUCUAUAAGGGCAAUUGAAACUGGUUAGCUAGAGUGCGAUAGGGGCAAGGGGAAUUCCCAGUGUAGCGGUGAAAUGCGUAGAUAUUGGGAAGAACAUCGGUGGCGAAGGCGCCUUGCUGGGUCUGCACUGACACUGAGGGACGAAAGCUAGGGGAGCGAAAGGGAUUAGAUACCCCUGUAGUCCUAG
RNAcentral lists this ribosomal RNA (745 nucleotides) under cyanobacterium enrichment culture clone 4_10_4.2.6_B03-T7. Its description in RNAcentral is "bacterial SSU rRNA". It matches the Rfam family "Bacterial small subunit ribosomal RNA", at positions 11 to 799 of the family's 1533-position model. Lineage: Bacteria; Bacillati; Cyanobacteriota. The record is from RNAcentral.